AUACGGAGGGUGCAAGCGUUACUCGGAAUCACUGGGCGUAAAGCGCGCGCAGGCGGCUUGAUAAGUUGGAUGUGAAAGCCUACGGCUCAACCGUAGAACUGCAUCCAAAACUGUCAAGCUCGAGUCUGGGAGGGGAAGAUGGAAUUAGUUGUGUAGGGGUAAAAUCCGUAGAGAUAACUAGGAAUACCAAAAGCGAAGGCGAUCUUCUGGAACAGUACUGACGCUGAGGCGCGAAAGCGUGGGGAGCAAACAGGAUUAGAAACCCCUGUAGUCC
Molecule: ribosomal RNA, 274 nt
Filed under: uncultured bacterium
Lineage: Bacteria
Description: partial 16S ribosomal RNA
Rfam family: Bacterial small subunit ribosomal RNA
Source: RNAcentral